This is a non-coding RNA of Drosophila melanogaster (fruit fly), 1155 nucleotides long. The record is from Ensembl. Lineage: Eukaryota; Metazoa; Arthropoda; Insecta; Diptera; Drosophilidae.
AGGCAACGUUUAAUUCGAUUUACCAUUAAAAUAUGUUCUUCUUAAUAUUUUAUAAUGUCAGUGCCGCGGAAUUCAGCCAACGCUUUUCCAUUAUCGCUUAAUGCAACACAAUUACUUUUAAUUAUUUUAUUAUGUAAACAUUUCGGUAGACCAGUCCGCAGCGGACACCCGUGGAAACCAAUUUAAUUGAUAUAAACAUUGUAGUUUAAUUGCCUUAAACGCCAAAUGAACCGGUUGACUUUAUUACCAAACAGUUUGACGUGUUGGUUUUUUUUUUCCUUGUGUUACACGUUGGUGUUUUUUAAUUAAAAUUCAAUCAGAAUGAACCGUACUAACAUGAUUUGCAAUGGAGCGUAAUUCUGAAAGAACUGAAAUGCAGAUUGUGGUUUGUAGCGGGUUGAUUAAAUCGUGUCAUGUUUUGCGGUUGGAAUAGGUACAUUAAAUUGCUAGUAAAUUUGCAUUCCCAUAGCUUGUCUUUAUCCGAUUCGUGAUCAGGACAAAGGACAAAGGCUAGGUGACCCAGCUCUGCUCAGAGGACUAACUAGCUCACCACACAUCCUUUUGGUAAAGCCGCAUGCAUUAGGCCGAAUCGUGCGUCAUUUUGAGCAUUAAAAUUAAUCCAUGGACACGCAAGGAUAAUCGCUCGGAUGACACGCUUUUUUAUGGCUACCUGGCGCCUCUGAGCCAGGAUUUUGAGAUGCGAACGCGUGACUAAGAGGACCACGAGAACGAGUACAGGUUACGUAUACGCCACCGUAGCCGCGGUGCUACUCGUAUCGCAAAUUGACUGCAGUCGCUGCAAAUUUCAAUUUUCAACGCCAUAAUUGGUCAUCUAAUUAUAGUUGCAUUCUAGCACAACAGGGCCUGCCUGGGUAUUAAAAGUAAUCGCCUCUUAUAAAUAAUAUACCCAACAAGGACUCCGCCCAGCACUAUUGAAAUGCUAAUCAUAGUAAUGUCCUUUGGGUGUUUUACACAUAUACGUAUUAUAUUUUCGUUCGUUUUCUUAAUUUCUAGAAACUCGUGCAAGUAUUGACCAAAAAAAAAAAAAAAAAAAAAACGAAAUAAAGAUGUGUGGGAAUGUGUGUGAGAAAGUGGCAAGUGUGAAAACUGAGGGGUCACCCAACUACGUCACGCAUGUCCUUGCACGAAAAUGUG